CAGUAGCCACGGUAAUACGGAGGGAGCUAGCGUUGUUCGGAAUUACUGGGCGUAAAGCGCACGUAGGCGGCUUUGUAAGUUAGAGGUGAAAGCCUGGAGCUCAACUCCAGAAUUGCCUUUAAGACUGCAUCGCUUGAAUCCGGGAGAGGUGAGUGGAAUUCCGAGUGUAGAGGUGAAAUUCGUAGAUAUUCGGAAGAACACCAGUGGCGAAGGCGGCUCACUGGACCGGCAUUGACGCUGAGGUGCGAAAGCGUGGGGAGCAAACAGGAUUAGAUACCCCUGUAGUCCCUGUCUCUUAUAC
This 301-nucleotide ribosomal RNA is filed under the name uncultured bacterium. RNAcentral's name for it is "partial 16S ribosomal RNA". It matches the Rfam family "Bacterial small subunit ribosomal RNA", at positions 509 to 807 of the family's 1533-position model. The record is from RNAcentral.